UUCCCCGGUUGUGUAAUGGUAGCACCGCAGAUUCUGGUUCUGCUUGUGGGGGUUCGAAUCCUCCCUGGGGAAUAUG
RNAcentral lists this transfer RNA (76 nucleotides) under Treponema vincentii ATCC 35580. RNAcentral describes it as "tRNA-Gln". It matches the Rfam family "tRNA". From Rfam's summary of the family: Transfer RNA (tRNA) molecules are approximately 80 nucleotides in length. Their secondary structure includes four short double-helical elements and three loops (D, anti-codon, and T loops). Further hydrogen bonds mediate the characteristic L-shaped molecular structure. tRNAs have two regions of fundamental functional importance: the anti-codon, which is responsible for specific mRNA codon recognition, and the 3' end, to which the tRNAs corresponding amino acid is attached (by aminoacyl-tRNA synthetases). tRNAs cope with the degeneracy of the genetic code in two manners: having more than one tRNA (with a specific anti-codon) for a particular amino acid; and 'wobble' base-pairing, i.e. permitting non-standard base-pairing at the 3rd anti-codon position. The record is from RNAcentral. Lineage: Bacteria; Pseudomonadati; Spirochaetota; Spirochaetia; Treponematales; Treponemataceae.